UGCUCAAGCACACAAGUACACACAGACGCACGCUUUGUUGGGUCCCAACGGGCAUUUUGUGCUCCCACUUCUACUUGUACUGUAGAAGCUGCUGUGUGGGCUUUUCAGCAGACAAGGAAGCAAACCUUAAAGUGUGCUGUACCUACAGUACGGGGACGAGACCAAACAGAUCCGCAUGCCCAAUGAGAUCACAGGCAUCGAUACGGUCAGAGCUCUGUUUGUUAGUGCCUUCCCGCAGCAGCUCACCAUGAAGAUGCUGGAGUCCCCCAGUGUAGCCGUAUACGUCAAAGAUGACAUGAGGAAUAUGUACUACGAGCUCACCGAUGUCAGGAACAUCACAGACCACUCCUGCUGAAGGUCUACCACAAAGACCCAGCACAAGCGUUCAGCCACG
Thalassophryne amazonica is the source of this 394-nucleotide long non-coding RNA. RefSeq lists it as uncharacterized. The record is from RefSeq and is a predicted model, not a curated record. NCBI's taxonomy places the organism in Eukaryota, Metazoa, Chordata, Actinopteri, Batrachoidiformes, Batrachoididae. The transcript is spliced from 3 exons.